This 253-nucleotide ribosomal RNA is filed under the name uncultured bacterium. Its description in RNAcentral is "partial 16S ribosomal RNA". It matches the Rfam family "Bacterial small subunit ribosomal RNA", at positions 524 to 776 of the family's 1533-position model. The record is from RNAcentral.
UACGUAGGGGGCAAGCGUUGUCCGGAAUCAUUGGGCGUAAAGCGCGUGUAGGCGGUUCGGUAAGUCUGCUGUGAAAGUCCAGGGCUCAACCCUGGGAUGCCGGUGGAUACUGUCGGACUAGAGUACGGAAGAGGCGAGUGGAAUUCCCGGUGUAGCGGUGAAAUGCGCAGAUAUCAGGAAGAACACCCGUGGCUAAGGCGGCUCUCUAGUACGGUACUGACGCUGAGACGCGAAAGCGUGGGGAGCGAACAGG